GCUUUCGUUGUGCAACGGUAGCACACUCGGCGCAUAUUCGAGAGGUCCAGGUUCGAAUCCCAGUGAAGGCA
RNAcentral lists this transfer RNA (71 nucleotides) under Stegodyphus mimosarum. It matches the Rfam family "tRNA". From Rfam's summary of the family: Transfer RNA (tRNA) molecules are approximately 80 nucleotides in length. Lineage: Eukaryota; Metazoa; Arthropoda; Arachnida; Araneae; Eresidae. The record is from Rfam by way of RNAcentral.